Non-coding RNA from Jatropha curcas, 698 nucleotides. The record is from RefSeq and is a predicted model, not a curated record. NCBI's taxonomy places the organism in Eukaryota, Viridiplantae, Streptophyta, Magnoliopsida, Malpighiales, Euphorbiaceae.
GGGGUCUGGAUACAUUCUUGGGACAUUCGCAUGAAAGUUGCUCUCGGUGCUGCAAAAGGGGCUUGCAUUUCUUCAUAGUGCUGAUGUGAAUGUCAUUCAUGGGGACUUUAAGACUUCCUCAUAUACUGCUUGAUUCAGUAUGUAAUUUACCUACAUUACCUGAUCAAACUUUUUUUUCACAAUAUAUUUGAAUUUAGGACUAACAAUUAGUUGAGUAUAUCUGCAUUUGUUGACCUACCUGCUACAUUUGCUCCAUAUUUGUAGAACUUCAAUGCAAAGCUUUCUGGUUUUGCUUUAGCUAGGGAUGGGCCAACUGAUGAUGAGAGUUACGUCAGUAGUCCUUUCAGGGGUACUACUGGAUAUGCUGCACCAGAGCGUCUAACCACAGGAAAUAUAAUCUGAGACUGCGCAAGGCAAAGGGGUGUUAGAGAGGACGAGCACGAGUGAAAGCUUCCGUUGAUGGAGAGAUAUUGUUAUAGUGUAGAGGGUAAAGGAUAGUCGGCCUUGUAUCAAAACACUCACCAUAUUAGCAAAAUUGCCCACCAUUCCUUCACGUUAAAGUUUGUGAGGAGAACAAUCAAGUCUAACCUGAUCAGAGAAACUUUAUUUUUAAUAAUAUAUUUGUGUUACUCAACCUCUAAGUCUCACAGCAUAGUUCAAAAUAGGGUUAAUAAUAUAUGUAGUUAUUAAGUUUUUUU